This 647-nucleotide long non-coding RNA is filed under the name Canis lupus familiaris (dog). RNAcentral describes it as "lncRNA (ENSCAFG00040018797.1)". Lineage: Eukaryota; Metazoa; Chordata; Mammalia; Carnivora; Canidae. The record is from RNAcentral.
CUUUUUUAUCCUCUUAACCACUCCUUUGAAUAAUACAAAUUUAUUACAAUAACCAAUUUUCCUUGAUGCUUUUAAAGAAAUCUCAAGCGUGAGCACUUUACCCAGUGGGCUUCUUUGCCAGUGGGCACCAAUUAAGCUCUUGUGGAAUGGCAAGCAAGAAGAAACUAUAGGAAAGAUUCACCUCAGGAACAUCACAAAAUGGGCAACCAGGGAACAGUGAUUUCAAGGUAAGGGAGAAAAACACCUUCUGUUCAUGAGGAUAUUAAUAUUCUAAAACAUACAAAGGAAGCAAAUAUUUUUAAAAACCAGCAAAUUAAAACUGUAGAUAAAGUCCUUUCAAUAAAACUAAAAUAAUAUAAAAUAUAAAAUAUUUCACCCAUUUUUCAAAAGUCACAAACAAUAACAAGUAAGUUGAACUAAUGAAUGAAUAUGAUAUAUGACAAACAUCCAUCCUAGAAACCAGAUCUGCAGCCAUAAAUACAAAUAACUCUUUCCAUAAGCAAAUCCUAUAGUAGAGACCCAGAAAGAAUUAGUGCAUUAUACCUGACCACCAUUAAAUCCACUUUAAUGUGUUUUUUUUAUUUUAAAGUAUUUUAAAAUUUUAAAGUACAAAAUUACAAGUAUUAAGAAGUGCAAAAUUACAAGAU